GGCUUAGAGUUUGAUCAUGGCUCAGGAUGAACGCUGGCGGCGUGCUUAACACAUGCAAGUCGAACGGACAAAGAAGGCUUCGGUUUUCUUUGUUAGUGGCGGACGGGUGAGUAACGCGUGGGCAACCUACCUUAUACAGGGGGAUAGCAGUUAGAAAUGACUGAUAAUACCGCAUAAGCGCCCGAGGUCGCAUGACCUUGAGUGAAAAACUCCGGUGGUAUAAGAUGGGCCCGCGUCUGAUUAGCUAGUUGGUAAGGUAACGGCUUACCAAGGCGACGAUCAGUAGCCGACCUGAGAGGGUGAUCGGCCACAUUGGGACUGAGACACGGCCCAAACUCCUACGGGAGGCAGCAGUGGGGAAUAUUGCACAAUGGGGGAAACCCUGAUGCAGCGACGCCGCGUGACUGAAGAAGUAUUUCGGUAUGUAAAGGUCUAUCAGCAAGGAAGAAGAGAGACGGUACUUGACUAAGAAGCCCCGGCUAACUACGUGCCAGCAGCCGCGGUAGUACGUAGGGGGCAAGCGUUAUCCGGAUUUACUGGGUGUAAAGGGAGCGUAGGUGGUAAGGCAAGCCAGAAGUGAAAGCCCGGGGCUCAACCCCGAGGAUUGCUUUUGGAACUGUCGAACUAGAGUGCAGGAGGGGCAAGCG
RNAcentral lists this ribosomal RNA (647 nucleotides) under uncultured organism. RNAcentral's name for it is "bacterial SSU rRNA". It matches the Rfam family "Bacterial small subunit ribosomal RNA", at positions 1 to 663 of the family's 1533-position model. The record is from RNAcentral.